AUGAACGCUGGCGGCGUGCCUAAUACAUGCCAGUCGAGCGAACAGAUGAGGAGCUUGCUCCUCUGACGUUAGCGGCGGACGGGUGAGUAACACGUGGAUAACCUACCUAUAAGACUGGGAUAACUUCGGGAAACCGGAGCUAAUACCGGAUAAUAUAUUGAACCGCAUGGUUCAAUAGUGAAAGACGGUUUUGCUGUCACUUAUAGAUGGAUCCGCGCCGCAUUAGCUAGUUGGUAAGGUAACGGCUUACCAAGGCAACGAUGCGUAGCCGACCUGAGAGGGUGAUCGGCCACACUGGAACUGAGACACGGUCCAGACUCCUACGGGAGGCAGCAGUAGGGAAUCUUCCGCAAUGGGCGAAAGCCUGACGGAGCAACGUCGCGUGAGUGAUGAAGGUCUUCGGAUCGUAAAACUCUGUUAUUAGGGAAGAACAAAUGUGUAAGUAACUAUGCACGUCUUGACGGUACCUAAUCAGAAAGCCACGGCUAACUACGUG
This 496-nucleotide ribosomal RNA is filed under the name uncultured bacterium. RNAcentral's name for it is "partial 16S ribosomal RNA". It matches the Rfam family "Bacterial small subunit ribosomal RNA", at positions 29 to 507 of the family's 1533-position model. The record is from RNAcentral.